GAUGAACGCUGGCGGCGUGCCUAAUACAUGCAAGUCGAGCGAACAGACGAGGAGCUUGCUCCUCUGACGUUAGCGGCGGACGGGUGAGUAACACGUGGAUAACCUACCUAUAAGACUGGGAUAACUUCGGGAAACCGGAGCUAAUGCCGGAUAAUAUAUUGAACCGCAUGGUUCAAUAGUGAAAGACGGUUUUGCUGUCACUUAUAGAUGGAUCCGCGCCGCAUUAGCUAGUUGGUAAGGUAACGGCUUACCAAGGCAACGAUGCGUAGCCGACCUGAGAGGGUGAUCGGCCACACUGGAACUGAGACACGGCCCAGACUCCUACGGGAGGCAGCAGUAGGGAAUCUUCCGCAAUGGGCGAAAGCCUGACGGAGCAACGCCGCGUGAGUGAUGAAGGUCUUCGGAUCGUAAAACUCUGUUAUUAGGGAAGAACAAAUGUGUAAGUAACUAUGCACGUCUUGACGGUACCUAAUCAGAAAGCCACGGCUAACUACGUG
RNAcentral lists this ribosomal RNA (497 nucleotides) under uncultured bacterium. RNAcentral's name for it is "partial 16S ribosomal RNA". It matches the Rfam family "Bacterial small subunit ribosomal RNA", at positions 28 to 507 of the family's 1533-position model. The record is from RNAcentral.